This 550-nucleotide ribosomal RNA is filed under the name uncultured bacterium. RNAcentral describes it as "bacterial SSU rRNA". It matches the Rfam family "Bacterial small subunit ribosomal RNA", at positions 355 to 896 of the family's 1533-position model. The record is from RNAcentral.
UAGGGAAUCUUCCGCAAUGGACGCAAGUCUGACGGAGCAACGCCGCGUGAGUGAAGAAGGUUUUCGGAUCGUAAAACUCUGUUGUUAGAGAAGAACAAGUGCUAGAGUAACUGUUAGCGCCUUGACGGUAUCUAACCAGAAAGCCACGGCUAACUACGUGCCAGCAGCCGCGGUAAUACGUAGGUGGCAAGCGUUGUCCGGAUUUAUUGGGCGUAAAGCGAGCGCAGGCGGUUCCUUAAGUCUGAUGUGAAAGCCCCCGGCUCAACCGGGGAGGGUCAUUGGAAACUGGGGAACUUGAGUGCAGAAGAGGAGAGUGGAAUUCCAUGUGUAGCGGUGAAAUGCGUAGAUAUAUGGAGGAACACCAGUGGCGAAGGCGACUCUCUGGUCUGUAACUGACGCUGAGGCUCGAAAGCGUGGGUAGCAAACAGGAUUAGAUACCCUGGUAGUCCACGCCGUAAACGAUGAGUGCUAAGUGUUGGAGGGUUUCCGCCCUUCAGUGCUGCAGUUAACGCAUUAAGCACUCCGCCUGGGGAGUACGACCGCGAGGUUG